UACGUAGGGGGCAAGCGUUAUCCGGAUUUACUGGGUGUAAAGGGAGCGUAGACGGCGAUGCAAGUCUGAAGUGAAAGCCCGGGGCUCAACCCCGGGACUGCUUUGGAAACUGUAUGGCUGGAGUGCUGGAGAGGCAAGCGGAAUUCCUGGUGUAGCGGUGAAAUGCGUAGAUAUCAGGAGGAACACCGGCGGCGAAGGCGGCCUGCUGGACCGCGACUGACGUUGAGGCUCGAAAGCGUGGGGAGCGAACAGG
Molecule: ribosomal RNA, 253 nt
Filed under: uncultured bacterium
Lineage: Bacteria
Description: partial 16S ribosomal RNA
Rfam family: Bacterial small subunit ribosomal RNA
Source: RNAcentral